This 81-nucleotide unclassified non-coding RNA is filed under the name Gallus gallus (chicken). The record is from RNAcentral. Lineage: Eukaryota; Metazoa; Chordata; Aves; Galliformes; Phasianidae.
UUUUUUUUUUUACUUUAUUAAAAUACUAAAUUUUAUUUUUUUUUCCACGUACAUUUAGUCUUCCCACCACUUCCAUUAGUC